GAUGAACGCUGGCGGCGUGCCUAACACAUGCAAGUCGAGCGAACAGACGAGGAGCUUGCUCCUCUGACGUUAGCGGCGGACGGGUGAGUAACACGUGGAUAACCUACCUAUAAGACUGGGAUAACGUCGGGAAACCGGAGCUAAUACCGGAUAAUAUAUUGAACCGCAUGGUUCAAUAGUGAAAGACGGUUUUGCUGUCACUUAUAGAUGGAUCCGCGCCGCAUUAGCUAGUUGGUAAGGUAACGGCUUACCAAGGCGACGAUGCGUAGCCGACCUGAGAGGAUGAUCGGCCACACUGGAACUGAGACACGGUCCAGACUCCUACGGGAGGCAGCAGUAGGGAAUCUUCCGCAAUGGGCGAAAGCCUGACGGAGCAACGCCGCGUGAGUGAUGAAGGUCUUCGGAUCGUAAAGCUCUGUUAUUAGGGAAGAACAAAUGUGUAAGUAACUAUGCACGUCUUGACGGUACCUAAUCAGAAAGCCACGGCUAACUACGUG
RNAcentral lists this ribosomal RNA (497 nucleotides) under uncultured bacterium. RNAcentral's name for it is "partial 16S ribosomal RNA". It matches the Rfam family "Bacterial small subunit ribosomal RNA", at positions 28 to 507 of the family's 1533-position model. The record is from RNAcentral.